This 253-nucleotide ribosomal RNA is filed under the name uncultured bacterium. RNAcentral's name for it is "partial 16S ribosomal RNA". It matches the Rfam family "Bacterial small subunit ribosomal RNA", at positions 524 to 776 of the family's 1533-position model. The record is from RNAcentral.
UACAGAGGGGGCAAGCGUUGUUCGGAAUUACUGGGCGUAAAGGGCGCGUAGGCGGCCUUCUAAGUCAGACGUGAAAUCCCUCGGCUCAACCGGGGAACUGCGUCUGAGACUGGAAGGCUUGAAUCCGGGAGAGGGAUGUGGAAUUCCAGGUGUAGCGGUGAAAUGCGUAGAUAUCUGAAGGAACAUCAGUGGCGAAAGCGCCUUCCUGGACCAAUACUGACGCUCAUGUGCGAAAGCGUGGGGAGCAAACAGG